CUCUGGGCUGAGUUCAGUUGAUUGCCGGAGUUAAGGUCCCUGAUCGAGCUUGUUCUCUGGGCGCCGACUUAGUUGGAAAUCAAGUGUCCAGGCUGAAGGUAAGGUCCCUGAUCGAGCUUUGCUCUCUGGGCGCCAGUCCUGUUGGAAUGAGAGAGUUGAGAUAUAAGUGACCAGGCUAGAGGUAAGGUCCCUGAUCGAGCUUUGCUCUCUGGGCGCCAGUCCUGUUGGAAUGAGAGAGUUGAGAUAUAAGUGACCAGACUAGAGGUAAGGUCCCUGAUUUUCAAAUGAACAAUCACAGUAGCAUAAUUAAAUUUUAUGCAUGACACGUGCAUAAGUGAUAUAUGACUUUAACUCACAGGUUUGGCGACCUCCUAACUCUGCUCCGGUGCCUCGGUUGGAGCGAGCCGAACAGACAGAUCAUCUAAUCACGGAAAACAAUUUAUUAAAACGCUGAAAAAAUCGAUCAUUAAUCUUAGGUCUAGACUCUUAGGACUGACUGUCUAAGAAUCUCGACUCGGUAAAUUCUACCGAAAAUUCGGCAGAACCUCCCCUACAACACGGACAUUUACCCCCCGUAAAACGGGUCCAGGACCUCCCAGAAAAAUACUUCAAAAAUCUAACAAUCCAAACAACGAGAGUCGGGUAUACAUGGCAGGCAGUCCGACAAACAAUUAUUUUUGACUCACAAAUAUCAUCAAAUACUCAACACAAUCAAUAGAUACACAAAUUAAAUCAAGGAAUUCCAAAAAUUAACGGGGCCAGAGAAAAUUACCGAGAUGCUCGGUCGAUUCGCCUCCAGCCGCCGAAGUCCGAUCGACGAUCCGAACACACCAUCGGACUCGAAAUGACGCGCUGAAGACGAUCCCCGCUUCUGAUUUCUGAUCUGACACCGGAUCAUCCAGAGAGAAUUUUUGGAUGAUCUUGGCCGUCGAUUCGCAAACGAAGUCUGAUCGCCACGAAACCGGUGCCGUUGCGAAGCUUGAGCUGAGGAGAGUCGGGAUAUGCCCUCCAAUCGUCCAUAGCUCGGCGGAAAUGCCCAAAAACCUCGGCUGCCUCCAUUUUCUCUUUCCACAGUGAACCUCCAUUUCCAGCCACCAUUGUCGACACCGCCGCGGCCAAAAUAAAGCCAAGGCUGAGAGGAGUCGAUCGCCACCAAAAUCAACAGCUACCACCGCCGGAAACGCACACACGGCAGCAAGGAAGUCUUGGCCGGCUUCCUCUCCUCGCGUGAGCUGCUACCGUCGCCCGCUGCUGCCGCUGCACUCGCCGACGACGCCAGCAGCGCCCGACAGUCGGCCGCCACCGGCUGGACGACGCAGCACCGGCUCCCCUCGCGCAACGCCCUCUCUCUCUCUCUCUCUCUCUCUCUCUCUCUCCCUUCUUCCCUGAUUUUCUUCCUCUCCCCCGACACUCUCUUCUUUCCUUUCUUUCAAUAUCGACAUUUGACCCCUGAACUUUUUCUUAUUACAAUUUGGUCCUUCAACUAUUUUAAUUACUUACAACUUCAUCCUGCAGAAAUUUCAAUUAACCCCUAAACUUUUCUUUAGCCUUUCAAUUAAGCCCUUAACUAAUUAAUUUGGACCAAAUUAGAAUUAUUGAAAAUAUAUAAUUACAUAUAUACCCCUGACCGACAUAUUUAUUUACAAAAAUACCAAACAUACAAAUUUCUAUUAAAACCCCAUAAUAAUAAAAUUUUACUUUUAUUCCUCAUCCCAAAAUAAAUUUCCAAUUUAAUCCUAACACACCAUUAAUUUAAUUAAUCAAUUUACUAAAUAUUUUUUAACUUAAAAUUAAAUAUCACUAGCUAAUUAAAAUACCAAUUUCUCCAAGAAAUUUCUUUUAUAAAAACAUCAUUUACAAAUUCUUCCAUGAUUUUUCAAUAUAUAAUUUUAUUUAUAUAUAUGCUAUAUAUAUAUAUUUAGAAAAAAUUUGAAUAACUAAAAUAUAAUUAUUUUUUAAUAAUUUAUUUAAUUAAUUUCUUAAAGAUCCAACAAAUUAGGUAUAGAAAAAUAACUCAUUUAAUUGUCUAAUAUUAAGAUUUUCAUUAAAUCAUUUCAAAUUAAACCAAAUAAAAAUAAAGUAAAAUUAAUUUAAAUAAAAACUCAUUUAUUAAUUAUUAUUAAUAUAAUCAUUGGAAAAAAUUUCGGGUAUUACAACUUAUCCUAGUAAGUAUGUAAAAUCCAUUUUUAUUUUUUUUUUCCAAAUUACACACUUAGAGGUGGAUUCCAUAUUAGGAGAAUAAGUUAUUAGUGAGAUGGUAUAAAUAAUGUAACAAAUCAAUUAAGGAUAUUUCAUGGCCACACUAGUAAAAACUAUACUGCAAAAUUUUAGACACCCAAAUUUUUUUUAAAAAAAUGAUAUAAACAAAAAUCAAAAUAUUGAAACUAAUUAGAUAUAACAUCCAAAGAUUUGAUACUAACAAAAUAAAAUAAAUAUGUAACGACCUUACCCCAAACUGGCCCAAUUUGCUAGUUUUCUAUCUUUAUCUUUCAUACUUUAGAGUUCAGCAACUCGAAACUCUAACUGAUACUGUUUUAAUUUUGAUCCUACUUUUAAAUAUCAUGCAUAACACUAGAGGGUAGAGAAAGAAUGAGAAAAACUCAAUAAAAGAAUAAACAAAUAACAAAGAGGAACAAACAAGAAUUUAAAUAGAAUUAAUACAAUACUUUAUUAUUCUUGAAUAUUUUUUGUUAGAGAAAAUUUUGUUAUUAUUUUGAACAUAAAUAUUUGAUACAAGACAUUCUAGUUAGAUAAAUAAACUCUUGUAAAACUAAUUAUGUUAAGAAAUCAUUUAAAUAUGUAUUUGAAAACUACAAUUUCUUAUUUUGAUCUAAAAUCAACUAUCUGUAUAAUUUCGAAUCAAUAUGGAAAAAUAUCAAUACUAAAUUAAAUUUUGAUAUCAUAACAAAGAAAAAAAAGUAACAAUUUAAAACAAAUAAUUUAGUAGAAAUCAAUAUACACUCAUAGAUGUACCCUAUUAAUUUUUGGCAAUUUUGAGCGCAAAGACGUCUUACAUAGCAAUCCAAAUGUAAAUUCUAGUCAUACGCGUGUAGAUAAUAAGCCUCCAAAGGCACCAUCUAGCAUAUGCUCCAAAGGCGAUGUAUAUACUAAGCGUUGUCUAAAAGACAGUAUAAUAUGAUGAUACCUGACGUCCAAGGUAUAAUCUCAUAAGUCACAUAAAUGAGUAUAUUCUCAUUUAUCCAACUAUAUAUAAUUUUAAUCACAUAUAAAGUAAAACUAAAAAUACCAUUCUUUGUUUCCUAUUUAUAGAAAAUGUCAAGUUUCUAAACUGCAAUUAAAAUAAUAUUUUUUAAUAAUAAACAUUCCAACAAUUCAUAAGGAUAUAAAUAUAAAUAUAAAUAGUAUAUUACUGAAAAAUACAAUAUUAUAGGUUUAUCUACUCACCUAGUAUGCAGGACUCAACCAACUGUACCGUUAUUCAAUUUCUCUGCUAAUUUUUUCUGAACUACUAUCCGGAUGCACAUUCCUAAAAUUCACGCAUAAACAUAUUUUAGAAAUAAAUCAUGUUUUUAAUAAUCCUUAACCAACAUCUAUUUUUGAAUUUCUAAAAUCAAAUUCUAACUCUUUAAUUCUCAUCUUAUUUUAGUAUAAUUAUAUUUAUUUCCUUCCUAUUCCAAUUAAUUAAUUUACAUCUCCUAUAAACACAGAGUAGUUUCCCCUAAAAAUGGGUCCAACACUUGCAAAAAAUACAUGCACAUCCCACAAUAUUUUUCCAUUUGAGACCUCCAAAGUUUUUAUUAAAUUCAACCUCUCUUUGUUAUCAAAGAAUUUAUCAUCAUAACUAGCUAUUAUUUUUACCUUGUCCAAAUAUUUUUCAAUACAUGAAUUUUAAUUAUAAUUAUUUUCCUUUAUACCGAUCAAUAACUAUUUUAAUAAUAAUUAUUAUUAUUUUUAUUAAUUGACCUUAAGUACUCAUAAACAACAAUUGAGCUUCUCAAAAUUUAGGCAUUUUGUGAACUAAUUAUCUCAUGCCAAUAAUUUUAUUUAUCAUACAGUUAAUACUAAUUUUAUUUAUUUUUCUCUAACCACUUAAAUAUAAAUUUUAUUAUAUUUAUUUAUUCUAUCAAAAAUAUAAUAUUCUUGUAUCAUUAUAUCAAUUAUUUAUUAAUAAAUAUAAUUAAAUUUAAUUAUAGACUGAUCUCUUAAUCAAGAUCUCACACACACAUAUAUAUAUAAAAAUUAACUACUGAAAUUAUUGGCUAUCGUUUUAAAGUCCACUAAAUCAUUUAUUCUAAUUAAUUAGCUUUAUAUUUCUAAUAUUUAUAAAACAACUAAUGAUAGAACCUGUAUAAAAUUAAACACAUUGCUCAAUUUUACUCAAUUUAAAUAGCACAUUUUAAUUUCCCAAACAUGCAUACAUGCAUUAAAUAAUUUUUUUCAAUUAAUAUUAGUAUAUUUUUAAUUAACAAUUUCUAAAAUUAUUAAGCUUAAAAUCUAAUCGAUAAUUCGAGCGUGNNNUUUUCUCCGAUCAAACUCUCGAUCAUCUGAGAUCUCAUCGACAGUUUUAUCCGUUGAUUUUUUUUAUAGAAUUCAAUCGCCACAAAAUUAUUGUCAUAGGAAAGGUUGCGACAUAUAAGUUCCAAAUGUGGUCUAUGAUCAUCUAAAGCUCAACGACAUUAGCCAGGAAAUUCUAAAAAUCUAAAUCAGCCCCACUUUCUCUCUCUUCAAUUUCUCCCUCCACAUUUCAUGAAAAUCGUCAAACUUGGUGUCUAUGGAAAGCCCAAAAAAAAGAAUCCAUUGACACAAAAAUUGCUGCAAUUGGAGGUCGAAAUCGCCAUCAACUGAGGCCAAAAGUUUUAACGUUUAUUUCUUUGCUCACCUUCAACAUUUCUGCCACCAUUUCCGCCAACUAACACCGCCACUUUGCUUACUUCCUCCACUCUUCAUGUCCCGAAAAUUUCAGCUUCUAACUCCCUUUAAAACUCCAUUUGCCAUUAAAGAAGAAUGAAGCUUUUAACUUCUUCCUCUUCUUCAUUUCUUUCUUUUUCUUUCUUUUUUUAUUCAAUAACAACAUUUAGUCCUUAAAUUUUUACUUGACAACCAUUACCCCUUGAAAGGAUUCCUUUAGACCCUUGAGCUCAUAAAGGUUGCUUCAAUUAGAUCCUACUUACUAUUUUUGGGCCAAAUUAAAGUUAUCUAAAAUAUAUGAUUACUUAUUUACCCUUGCCUUUACUUCAGAAAUUACUAGAAUAUCCCUACCACCACAAUUAUUUAUAAAAAUACCAACCAUGAUAAUUUCUAUUUUAAUCCCAUAAUAAAUCAACUCUUCUUUUAAUCCCUUUCUCAUAAAAAAUUAUCAAUUUAAUCAUAACACUUAAUUAAAUUAAUUAAUCAAUUUAGAAACUAUUUUUAAUUAAAUCCAAUACCGCUUGCUAAUUAAAAUUUACCAUUCUCCAAAUAAAAUCAUUUAUAAAAAUAUUUUUAUAGCUUCCAAAUUAAAAGAAGAAUGUUUAUCUAUAUCAAGAGUACGUCUAAUUUAUAAUUCAGAUGAUAAAUAAUUAAUAUAUAUUAUUUAUUAUUAAAUAAUUAAAAUAUAUAAAAGAGGUUUAGAGUCAAUUAUAAAAUAUUUAAAGGAUGUAUACGUAACUUUUAUUAUCACCCUCAUAAAUGAAUUAAAAAAUGACUUUGAGUCAUUAGAACUUGCUACGGAGUUUAUGUAGUAUUAUAUUAGUAAUUUGGCAAAAUCUUAUAUGUGGAAAUGAUCUUACAGUGAUUACAUGAACUCAUUUUUCCAAAAAGCAAAAAUGAAAUGAGUUGCCACUGUUGUAUAAGUUUUUUAAAGGACAAGAUGUCGCUAAAAAGGACAGCUGAUAAGUCUCACUAAAUUUUUAUAACGGCUCUUUUGAUUGGAUAAAUCUUAAAGACUAUUUUAUCUUUUAACUUAUCCAACAAAUUUAAUUAAUAUUUAUAUUUUAUUCUCUUACUUCAUUUAAUCUAUAUUAUGUUUUCAAGAAGAAAAAUUCUUUAAGUUAUUUAUAUAAAGUUUAAAUUUAUAUAUAUUUAUUUAUAUUAAGGAAUUUAAUAAAAUAAUAUCUACAUGAAACUUGAAUUAAUAAAAUAUGGAGUAAAAAUGUUACUAUCAAUCUACAUAUAACGUUGAUUUAUUAUCAUAUUAUGUGCAAGUUUACCUAUGUUUUACAUAUAACGUUGAUAUGUUAUCAUAUUAUGCGUGAAUUUUUACCUAUGUUUCUCAUUCUUAAAAAAUAAAUAAUUCUAUAUAUAAAAAUUGUGUUCUUAAAUUUAUUAAAUAAUAAAAGAUUUAACUAAAAGUAAUCAAGAAAAAAUAAAAGUGCUCUUAUCAUAAUUUAAAAAAAUAAUAUUCAUGUUGUGAGGUAAAAAAUUUAAAAAUGGAUUUAGAUUUAAAAAAUAAAAUCUAUUACAAUAAAUUAAAAAAAGAAAAUAGUAAAAGUAGAAUGAUUAAUUUUAUUUUUAAAUAAUUAAAUAAUAGAGAAAUAAUAAUUUGUGAAAAUUAAUAAAAAUUUAUCAAUAUUUAUAAAAUUUUUUUAAGUAAAGUCAUUCACAAAUUUAUGAAUUCUACAAAAGUCGUUAAAAAUUCAUGAACUCUUUAAAAGAGAGAUCAUGUUAGUUUCAUUUUGCUUACAAACUUUUAAUUUAUUUCAUUUUAAUUAUUUUAAUUCUAGUUACAAUUUAUUCACUUUAUUAAUAAAAAGUUGAUAUGGAUAUAAACUUAAAUAAAAAUUAAAUAAAUAUUGAGGAAAUUACAUGGAAUACGUUAUUUUUUCCUUCUUUUACUUUUAUAUGCUAGGAUUUAGUUUUUUACUUUCAUGUUUUUCAACUAAUUGGCGGGCUCGGGGGAUAGUUGAUGUAACACCCGGAAUUUUUAUAUAUUUAAUAAUGAGUUUUUAAUUAAGUUAAUUUUAGCUUCAUUAUUAUUGGGUUUAAUUUGAAAUGAUUUAAUGAAAAAUUUAAUAUUAAUCAAAUAAAUGAGUUAUUUUCUAUACCCAAUUAGUUUGAAAUUUUAAGAAAUUAUUCA
This 7015-nucleotide long non-coding RNA is filed under the name Ricinus communis (castor bean). RNAcentral describes it as "long non-coding RNA (RCOM_LNC003075)". The record is from RNAcentral. Lineage: Eukaryota; Viridiplantae; Streptophyta; Magnoliopsida; Malpighiales; Euphorbiaceae.